This 246-nucleotide ribosomal RNA is filed under the name uncultured bacterium. Its description in RNAcentral is "partial 16S ribosomal RNA". It matches the Rfam family "Bacterial small subunit ribosomal RNA", at positions 524 to 769 of the family's 1533-position model. The record is from RNAcentral.
UACGUAGGGUGCAAGCGUUAUCCGGAAUUAUUGGGCGUAAAGAGCUCGUAGGCGGUUUGUCGCGUCUGCUGUGAAAACUGGGGGCUCAACCCCCAGCCUGCAGUGGGUACGGGCAGACUAGAGUGCGGUAGGGGAGAUUGGAAUUCCUGGUGUAGCGGUGGAAUGCGCAGAUAUCAGGAGGAACACCGAUGCGAAGGCAGAUCUCUGGGCCGUAACUGACGCUGAGGAGCGAAAAGCAUGGGGGAG